RNAcentral lists this long non-coding RNA (231 nucleotides) under Mytilus galloprovincialis (Mediterranean mussel). Lineage: Eukaryota; Metazoa; Mollusca; Bivalvia; Mytilida; Mytilidae. The record is from RNAcentral.
CCGCUCUAUAUCUUAAGAACCGUUAUCAUUUCAAAAGUUUAUACUUGACAUGUCUAUAAACAACACCAAAGGUGUGUCAUAACUUAUUUACAACUUCCUAGGUCAAAGGUCAAGGUCAAAAACUUUGAUUUCAGUUGACAAACCCAUGUCCUAUGGUAAAGAUACAAUUUUUUAUUGCAUAUUAUUCACAGCGGGGCCCACAGAGAUGGUUCCCAUCUCAAUGAUAUCUAG